Molecule: ribosomal RNA, 494 nt
Filed under: uncultured bacterium
Lineage: Bacteria
Description: partial 16S ribosomal RNA
Rfam family: Bacterial small subunit ribosomal RNA
Source: RNAcentral
GACGAACGCUGGCGGCGUGCCUAAUACAUGCAAGUUGAGCGCUGAAGGUUGGUACUUGUACCAACUGGAUGAGCAGCGAACGGGUGAGUAACGCGUGGGGAAUCUGCCUUUGAGCGGGGGACAACAUUUGGAAACGAAUGCUAAUACCGCAUAAAAACUUUAAACACAAGUUUUAAGUUUGAAAGAUGCAAUUGCAUCACUCAAAGAUGAUCCCGCGUUGUAUUAGCUAGUUGGUGAGGUAAAGGCUCACCAAGGCGAUGAUACAUAGCCGACCUGAGAGGGUGAUCGGCCACAUUGGGACUGAGACACGGCCCAAACUCCUACGGGAGGCAGCAGUAGGGAAUCUUCGGCAAUGGACGAAAGUCUGACCGAGCAACGCCGCGUGAGUGAAGAAGGUUUUCGGAUCGUAAAACUCUGUUGGUAGAGAAGAACGUUGGUGAGAGUGGAAAGCUCAUCAAGGGACGGUAACUACCCAGAAAGGGACGGCGAACUAC